RNAcentral lists this ribosomal RNA (478 nucleotides) under uncultured bacterium. Its description in RNAcentral is "bacterial SSU rRNA". It matches the Rfam family "Bacterial small subunit ribosomal RNA", at positions 28 to 505 of the family's 1533-position model. The record is from RNAcentral.
GACGAACGCUGGCGGCGUGCCUAACACAUGCAAGUCAACUUGACUGAAGGAGCAAUCUGACAGUAGAGUGGCGCAAGGGUGCGUAACGCGUAAGUAACUUGCCCAAGGUAAGGAAUAACGUCGAGAAAUCGGCGCUAAUACCUCAUAAUGCAGCGGAUCCGCAUGGAUAUGUUGUUAAAGGUUUACCGCCUUGGGAUAGGCUUGCGUCUGAUUAGCUAGUUGGUGUGGUAAACGGCACACCAAGGCUACGAUCAGUAACUGGUCUGAGAGGAUGAUCAGUCACACUGGAACUGAGACACGGUCCAGACUCCUACGGGAGGCAGCAGUGAGGAAUAUUGGGCAAUGCUCGAAAGAGUGACCCAGCAACGCCGCGUGGAGGAUGAAGGUAUUCUAUAUCGUAAACUCCUGUGAGAGCAGACGAAAGACAGAUUAUUAAUCUGGAUGACUGUAUGCUCAGAGGAAGCCCCGGCUAACUACG